UGGUUUUUUAAAGCAGAAACCACCACAAAGUUGGCUGUGGUUUCAGCUGCUCUCGCUCGAGAUUUGUAUUGCUGACUACCAAUCCUAAAAGAGUUAACCUGGUAAGUAUGACUCAGAAGCAGAGCAGGAGAUGCGAGGCUGAGAGCCGUGGAGGCAGCACAGAAACAGAGGUGAGCAACAGAAUAAUUGCCAAAAAAAGGUGCAGAGUCCAGGAGCGACGCUCCCUCCGGUCUGCCUGGCCCUGGCACCGCUGGCACGGGCUCCCUGGAAAGCUGCAGUUCCGCUCUUAUAACACAGGGAGCAGGCUGGAGAAUUUAGAGCUGCGUCACAGAGCUCAGCGAGAGAGUGAGAGAGCAAGCUCCGUCGAUAGGUCUACCAGCAACAGCCCUGCUGCAGCAAGAGGGGAGAGAGGCAGCAAGAGAGGCAGAGAGGGCUCCAGAAAGAGAAGUAUCACCAACACCUCGGGCUGGGCUCCUGCCACCAUCCACUGCCAUUUAGACGUCGUACUCGGGCUCGGUUGGCGUAGGAGGCUUCGCCCAUUGACGAUGCUGGAGACCCGGCGCGCUUAAUCCCGCGGGGAGGGAGAGUGGGCAGACACCGAAAGGGUUAACGGAAAGGAAAUUUCUGGAACCUUCUAUUCUGCGGCGCUCCACAGCGAGCGGAGGGCUGAGGACUGCGCAGAUGGUGCACGGGCACAGCUCUUCGGUCCGGUUCGCCUCUCUCACUGACCAGCAAUGAAGAUGGCAGCUCUGCCUGGAAGUGCUGAGGACACAACCAGCCUUGAGCUUGGUCCUUCUGGCCGAGGAAGUCUCCCGAUUAUGCAGUGGAGUGGUAACUUUGCUUUCUCAUAUGGCAGGGAACAUUAUUCCACAGCUUUUCAUCAUCCCGAGGCUUAAACAAGUUUAAGGAUGUGAUAGCAUAAGCGUUUAAUCUAUAUUACUCACUCGUUGACAUCUCAAGCGUCAGGGCUGGUUGUUUAGCAACAACCGCUGGGCUCAGAACCGGCUCAGACACAGCGCGUCCGCCGUCUCCAUCACUUCAGCUGUAGCCUGUCCCCUGCACGGUGCUCUGAGGGAAAGAGAGAAGGGCUCUACUUGCACCAUACCCUCGCCCCGACCGAGUUUUGGGGGUUUGGUGGCGCAGGCCGCAGGCGCUGCGGUUUUCUCGUGGAUUCCGUCCGUUUGCGCAGUUCCGCGGAGGGGAGGACGCCAUUUCCAACGGCACUGCGGCGGUAGGAACGGGGAGGGAAGAACAGGACAGGCAGUACGUGCCACUCCCCACUUUUCUUCCCCUCUUUCCCAUCACCACCUUUCUUCCUUCCCCUCCUCUUCUGCCAGAUUCCAUAGGGAAUUUCAGACUCUUGCUGCAGUCGUCACAACCCCUCCUGACUCACUGAGCCUUCGCUGGCUGUAGCUGGCUCCCUUGGAGCAUCCUUGCCUCCUGCAGCGCCAGAUCCGCAGAGCAGGGGAACAACAGGAAUAGCAGCGACGACGGUGGUCCCUGCAGUGAGACAGACAGGCAUAAAUACACACACAUGCAGGAACAGUCCGAGGCAGCUGUGGAGGGAAUUCUGUACAGCCGGGAGCUGGACUAAGCCCCAACUGCUUGGUUGCGUGGAAGACGGGUGGGUUGAGUCUCUUUUCCUGAGUGUUGGCUGCAUGGACAACUCUUUGUGGUUUUCCCGUCACAGUUGUGGGGUGGAGGACCCCAUAAUUUGUAAAGCUAGUGCUGCUUCAUGACAUUUCUCAGUGCUUUAAAGGAGGUGCCACUGGCAGCUGCUUCAGUGUUCAGUGCAGGGAUGUAUCUGAUUUAAUUCCCUUUGCCACCAUCUUUUUGCCACAAUUAGUUUAACUGAGACUGAACACAGGGAGGGUAAGGAGACACAGAUAAACGAGGAGUUAUUUCAAUGUUAAACUUCAGCUGUAAAUCUCAUUACUCAGGAAUUGAGGUUACUGUCAGCAGGUAAAUCUGUGGGACUGGCAAGAAACAAGGCUAAGAAGGGGACAUGGCAUAUUUCUGUAGGACAGCAGCGACUGUGUGCACAGGGGUGGCACUGUCACUGCGAGCUGUACGUGGCUUAACUGUUCCAUAAUCAUUUUCUGCAUAUUGCCUCAAAAGGACUUGGGAAAGCUGUGAUUUCUUCCUCCCUCUGACACUUGUGCGUGUUGCCAUUGUGUAAGCUGGUUCGUUUUUCCGAGCCUGGGUUCCCUUGCUCUGGGCAGUGGGGUUUGCUCCGUGCCUCGGCCCUGGUGCAGCACUGACGCAGCGUUCGUUAACGCGCCGGCCCUCGCCGACAAAACACUCGCGAUUUUCUCGGGCGUUCCGACCGUUCCGAGGGCCGCAAAAUUCGGGCGAGGAAGUUCAGGAUUGCAAAUGCUCACGACAUAAACUUAAAAGCAUCACCAUCCUAUUCUUUUCUAGUGGAGGAAGGCUCUGUGAGUGACGAGACAGCCACGAUCUCCCCCUUGCACUUGUUUUGCCGAUGGUCAUGUUACAUCUGUGACGCAGACGAAUUUUGCUGUUGGUUCCUGCCUGUGCUUUAGGGAGUCGGGCUGAUGAGGGCACAAGCUUGAAUAUGGUUAGAAACAUUAAUUUAGUAUUGCUGUUACAGGUUCAAACCAUACCUGAAGGGUCAGGGGUAUUGGAUCCACCUAUUUCACAGCCCCAAAUGGCGAAGGAAUUCGGAUGAACACAACAGCACCCCUGGCCAUUUUGUAGCUCGCAGAGUUGACUCGGAGCCUGCAGCUCUGCUGCUGCUGCUGCUGCUGUUCAUUUCCAUGUUAUACAAAUACAGCGUUGGGCUCGGUGUCAGGAGCUUUCCUGAUGCUGUGAGAAGCUUAAAGUCUACAAGCAAAUGUUUUUCUUAUUUGGGAAGAUUAAUUAAAAUGACCAAAUGCCAAGUAUUCUACCCUCGCUCCUCUCACAAAUCACAUCCAGAAAA
Pseudopipra pipra is the source of this 2941-nucleotide long non-coding RNA. RefSeq lists it as uncharacterized. The record is from RefSeq and is a predicted model, not a curated record. The transcript has 2 exons. NCBI's taxonomy places the organism in Eukaryota, Metazoa, Chordata, Aves, Passeriformes, Pipridae.